RNAcentral lists this unclassified non-coding RNA (190 nucleotides) under fungal sp. RNAcentral describes it as "partial internal transcribed spacer region". The stretch from base 1 to 46 matches the Rfam family "Eukaryotic small subunit ribosomal RNA", at positions 1786 to 1831 of the family's 1831-position model. The record is from RNAcentral. Lineage: Eukaryota; Fungi.
AAGUCGUAACAAGGUUUCCGUAGGUGAACCUGCGGAAGGAUCAUUAACGAACGAGGAAUUCAAUUUACUUGAAUUUCUUGGGAUCAACCAAAACCUGUAUGAUGAUGUAAAUUGUAUAUCGAUUAAUACUCGUAUACGAAAAUAAAUUUAAUAAAAUACAAAACUUUCAACAACGGAUCUCUUGGCUCUU